UGUGUAGGCGGUUCUUUAAGUUUGGUGUGAAAUCUCCCGGCUCAACUGGGAGGGAGCGCCGAAUACUGAGGGACUAGAGUACGGGAGAGGAAAGUGGAAUUCCUGGUGUAGCGGUGAAAUGCGUAGAUAUCAGGAGGAACACCGGUGGUGUAGACGGCUUUCUGGACCGUAACUGACGCUGAUACACGAAAGCGUGGGUAGCAAACAGGAUUAGAUACCCUGGUAGUCCACGCCCUAAACGAUGCAUAUUUGGUGUGGGCAGUUCAUUCUGUCCGUGCCGGAGCUAACGCGUUAAAUAUGCCACCUGGGGAGUACAGUCGCAAGGCUGAA
Molecule: ribosomal RNA, 330 nt
Filed under: uncultured bacterium
Lineage: Bacteria
Description: bacterial SSU rRNA
Rfam family: Bacterial small subunit ribosomal RNA
Source: RNAcentral